UGAGUAACACGUAUCCAACCUGCCGUCUACUCUUGGACAGCCUUCUGAAAGGAAGAUUAAUACAGGAUGGCAUCAUGAGUUCACAUGUUCACAUGAUUAAGGGUAUUCCGGUAGACGAUGGGGAUGCGUUCCAUUAGAUAGUAGGCGGGGUAACGGCCCACCUAGUCUUCGAUGGAUAGGGGUUCUGAGAGGAAGGUCCCCCACAUUGGAACUGAGACACGGUCCAA
This 227-nucleotide ribosomal RNA is filed under the name uncultured bacterium. RNAcentral describes it as "partial 16S ribosomal RNA". It matches the Rfam family "Bacterial small subunit ribosomal RNA", at positions 107 to 334 of the family's 1533-position model. The record is from RNAcentral.